UUGUCCAAACACACAAGAAAAUUGACACUCAGUCUUGAGAAACAAUCUCAUUGUUAUAAAUUGGUUUUACCAAAUUAAUUAAAAUAUCUGGUACAUCAACAUGCUUGCUUCAAUCUUGGAGUGGCAGCCUGCAGGGAUUCAAAUGGUAAUUUUAUUUCCGCCGUGACUUCGUGCUUUAAUGGUAUCCCUUCUCCAUCAGAGUCAGAAGUGAGAUCGUUGGAACUUACUCUAAAUUGGUUAUCGUCCGGUGAGCUCAGUAAUAUAAUCUUGAUGUCAGACUGCAAGCAGAACAUUGACAGCAUCAAAGCUAGAAGGUUUCAUAAUAAUGAAGUUGGAGACAUACUAAAGAGACGUUGCCAAAAUUGUCACUUUUCAAAACUGUGUUGUUGAGUUUGUGAACAGGCAAGCCAAUCAAAUUACUAGGGCAUCUAGACCCUUUGUUUGUCCAUAAUUUUUUUUAUCAUAGUCUUUCAUGUAUGGACUCUUUCAUCCAGUUUGAUUUAAUAUAACUAUCUUUCCUUUAAAAAAAAAUACUUUAAUCAAAAUUACCCAUGAAAAGAAUGCCGUAAAUAAUCUGAAAUAACUAAUUGGCUAAACUCUAUAGUAGUCUUCUUUACAACUUUUGUUUGAAUCUUUCAUAGUUUUUUUUAAAGACAAAAAAUAUUUUAUUAGCAAAAUUUUGAGCACGAGGUGUGUCAAAAUUUUGAAUCUUUCAAACUUAAUUUUACAAAACAAUGAAUGCUAUUUGUUAGAAACAUAAAACUAUCCUAAUAAAGGAUUUAUGAUUUUGGAUUAGAUAUAUUAGGCACCCAGGCCAGCCUCUUGCAGUGCUCCUACACUGGAAACCAUAUAGCAUGAGCUUAUCAACAAGGGCUGAAGUAAUUCACUCAAUUACGAUUAAUUUGGCCAGAAUUUUAAUGUGUGUGUGUGAAGCUUCAUCUAGUUUUGUUUAAUUUUAAUUAAUACCUGCACCACCAAGUCAAGUAUACAACAACAUGUCUGCAUUCCAAUUUGCUGUCAUGGUUACACAUACUUUUUGUCAUGGUUACACAUACUUGCUACCAGUAUAACCACAUGUACACCCAAGCUCCCCACCAUCCAUGCAUGCAGCAUUCAGCUUUAAAAAUAUAUAGCUUCACAUAGAUGCAACACAGAAAUAACAUUGAGAGUUGAGACCAAGGAGUCAAACUGCAAAUAUCACAAGACUACUUGCUGCAAUUCUCCAAAAGCUCACAUGCGACUUAAUUAAUAAACUCUAAUCUCACACCUCACAAUCUAUGUAAAUCGUGAUUGAAAAUGAUAAGUUUAAUAUCCAUCAAUGUUAACAUUAUAUAUCUUGUUAACAUGAGUUACAUUUUUUUACUGUUUUAAUUAAUAGCUAAAUAUUUUUUGUGAACUUAGACUAUCCACGAUCAAAAUCAAUAGAUUAAUCUCUUAAAAUAUUAAAAUCUUUUUGAGGAAUUGAUUUUUUUCAAUAAAUAUUCUUCUAUAUACAAGUAGACCUCAUGCUUAAGAGGUAUGAUUAUACUCCAAAUAACUAAAGCAGAAGUUUUGCCAAAUAUAUACCAAUGAAUUUAAAACUAGGAUAACUCACAUAAUCUCAAAUUGCUAGCUCAAAUUCUCCUACUCCUAUCAUAGAUUCCAUAUCUACCAUAUAAUUUGAAUAGGGAAAUGCUACUGUCCUAAGCAUAUUAAGGUUGAUAAUUAAUUAAUAAAAUCCUGAUUGUGGUUUGUGAUCAUAUGGUCAAGGUAUUUUAACAUUUCGCAAUCGCAUCACGAUUAUAAUUACAAUCACAUCAGUCAUAUUUUUUCAUAAUGUAAAGAUUUUUUUGACUUAUGGUAACACAACCACAAUCAUAAUUUAAAACCAUGAAUAAAACAAUAUUUACCACAUUCCUUUGCCGCAAAACCAAAUAUAUAUAUUUGUUUGACCCGGAAGCUGUCUCAAGCGCUGACAAAAAGACACACUGAUUGGCUUUCAAUGAUUUUAAAAUCAUAAUGCUGCUCUAUUCAUGAACCAAAUGAAAUGACGACGUCAAAUCACUUAGCUAGCUAGGUGCAAAAUGUGGACACUUUGAAUUUUCCACUGUAAGAUAAUCAAGUGAAUAUAUACCUGGCUUCGAUCAAUGAUGCAUUGCGUUGACUUUCCCAACUUUCGUAAUAUAUCAGCUGUAUAAGUGUGACAGAUACAAAGAUUCCAUAAAUGUGCAAAAGAUUCAAAUUGAUAGGUGCAUCUACCACUUUAAUUUGCACCAAGUAAGUGGCAAAUUAAGAACAUGAUUAAAACAUCAUCAGAUUGCAUUCAACAUUAUUAAUGCUUAUGCCACUGAAGAAUAAUUGCUUAAUUUCAAUCAAAGUUGCCCUGGCAUUAAACGCAGAAUACAACCAGCUGAAAAAUAAAAACUGUGAACGUACCAAUCACCACCAGAAAACAGUGUGACUAUAGGAGCCAAGGUUUAGAGGAUAUGAUCACCAUUUCUGUUACAUCGCUGGCAGCAUCAACUAAAGGUUAAGUAACCACAUUUAUUUCCUUUUAUUUAUCUUAGUCCAUGAUGG
RNAcentral lists this long non-coding RNA (2556 nucleotides) under Glycine max (soybean). RNAcentral describes it as "long non-coding RNA (GMAX_LNC002729)". The record is from RNAcentral. Lineage: Eukaryota; Viridiplantae; Streptophyta; Magnoliopsida; Fabales; Fabaceae.